RNAcentral lists this ribosomal RNA (270 nucleotides) under Paenarthrobacter nicotinovorans. RNAcentral describes it as "partial 16S ribosomal RNA". It matches the Rfam family "Bacterial small subunit ribosomal RNA", at positions 1065 to 1331 of the family's 1533-position model. The record is from RNAcentral. Lineage: Bacteria; Bacillati; Actinomycetota; Actinomycetes; Micrococcales; Micrococcaceae. RNAcentral also lists the same sequence under 1 other name.
UCGUGAGAUGUUGGGUUAAGUCCCGUAACGAGCGCAACCCUUGUCCUUAGUUACCAGCACGUUAUGGUGGGCACUCUAAGGAGACUNCCGGUGACAAACCCGGAGGAAGGUGGGGAUGACGUCAAGUCAUCAUGGCCCUUACGGCCUGGGCUACACACGUGNUACAAUGGUCGGUACAAAGGGUUGCCAAGCCGCGAGGUGGAGCUAAUCCCAUAAAACCGAUCGUAGUCCGGAUCGCAGUCUGCAACUCGACUGCGUGAAGUCGGAAGU